GCGCCGGUGGUCCAAUGGUAGGACUCGGGCUUCCCAAGCCCGCGGUCCGGGUUCGAUUCCCGGUCGGCGCA
Molecule: transfer RNA, 71 nt
Organism: Haloquadratum walsbyi DSM 16790
Lineage: Archaea; Methanobacteriati; Methanobacteriota; Halobacteria; Halobacteriales; Haloferacaceae
Rfam family: tRNA
About the family: Transfer RNA (tRNA) molecules are approximately 80 nucleotides in length. Their secondary structure includes four short double-helical elements and three loops (D, anti-codon, and T loops).
Source: Rfam